CCUACGGGUGGCAGCAGUGAGGAAUAUUGGUCAAUGGGCGGAAGCCUGAACCAGCCAAGUAGCGUGCGGGAUGAAGGCCCUACGGGUCGUAAACCGCUUUUGCACGGGGAUAACACCCUCCACUUGUGGAGGUCUGCAGGUACCGUGCGAAUAAGGGCCGGCUAAUUCCGUGCCAGCAGCCGCGGUAAUACGGAAGGCCCGAGCGUUAUCGGGAUUUAUUGGGCUUAAAGGGAGCAUAGCGGGGCGUUAAAGUCAGCUGUAAAAUUGCGAGGCUCAACCGCGCCCCGCAGUUGAAACUGGACGCCUUGAGUUCACGACAGGCAGGCGGAAUUCGUGGUGUAGCGGUGAAAUGCGUAGAUAUCACGAGGAACCCCGAUUGCGAAGGCAGCCUGCCGGGGUGCGACUGACGCUGAGGCUCGAAGGUGCGGGUAUCAAACAGGAUUAGAUACCCGAGUAGUC
RNAcentral lists this ribosomal RNA (459 nucleotides) under uncultured bacterium. RNAcentral's name for it is "partial 16S ribosomal RNA". It matches the Rfam family "Bacterial small subunit ribosomal RNA", at positions 338 to 795 of the family's 1533-position model. The record is from RNAcentral.